This 750-nucleotide ribosomal RNA is filed under the name uncultured Glomeromycotina. RNAcentral describes it as "SSU rRNA". It matches the Rfam family "Eukaryotic small subunit ribosomal RNA", at positions 338 to 1092 of the family's 1831-position model. Lineage: Eukaryota; Fungi; Glomeromycota. The record is from RNAcentral.
GGCCUACCAUGGUGGUAACGGGUAACGGGGUGUUAGGGCACGACACCGGAGAGGGAGCCUGAGAAACGGCUACCACAUCCAAGGAUGGCAGCAGGCGCGCAAAUUACCCAAUCCCGACACGGGGAGGUAGUGACAAUAAAUAACAAUACGGGGUUCUUUAGGAUCUCGUAAUUGGAAUGAGUACAAUUUAAAUCUCUUAACGAGGAACAAUUGGAGGGCAAGUCUGGUGCCAGCAGCCGCGGUAAUUCCAGCUCCAAUAGCGUAUAUUAAAGUUGUUGCAGUUAAAAAGCUCGUAGUUGAAUUUCGAGACCGGCUUACUGGUCGUGCUUUUGUGCGUACUGGUAUAACCGGUUUCUCCUUUCUGACGAACUAUAAUGCCAUUAAUUUGGUGUUAUAGGGAAUCAGGACUGUUACUUUGAAAAAAUUAGAGUGUUUAAAGCAGGCUCACGCUUGAAUACAUUAGCAUGGAAUAACGGAAUAGGACGUUUGAUUCUAUUUUGUUGGUUUCUAGGAUCGACGUAAUGAUUAAUAGGGAUAGUUGGGGGCAUUAGUAUUCAAUUGUCAGAGGUGAAAUUCUUGGAUUUAUUGAAGACUAACUACUGCGAAAGCAUUUGCCAAGGAUGUUUUCAUUAAUCAAGAACGAAAGUUAGGGGAUCGAAGACGAUCAGAUACCGUCGUAGUCUUAACCAUAAACUAUGCCGACUAGGGAUCGGAUGAUGUUAAUUUUUUAUGACUCAUUCGCGCCUUACG